CCCUCUCAUGACUGCAGUCCAUCAGUAGAAUAAUGCAACAUAUUGUAACCCAGGUUAUUUGGAGUAAUCCAAAUAUUUGUAAUAAUUAAGGUUAUGUCUCCAUUUGUCUCUUUUAUCCUGCCACCCACCAUUCGUGAACUAAGUACGAAAUCUUGCAUGAUGUAGCAUGAUUUGAGUUUUUAAAAGUGGGGCGGAGCGCAUUGUUUGGUCUGGGACAACAUGUCGUGGACUGGGAAGUUCAGGCCUGGCUGCUGCAGUUUCUAGAUGCAUCUAAUCUUUGAAAGACUGGGUUUGAUCGGCUUACAAACAGGAAGAAAAGAACUGAUAAACCAUGCUGCUGUGUACAUCAGUCAGGCUCAGCGUGUCACAUACAGCCUCAACACAUCUCCACAUUGACCCAGGCUGCAGUUUAGUUGAGGCCCCUGCUACUUCUAAUGGUGUUCUGCCACCAAAAUAAAACCGGCGACAUGCCUGCUCAGCUAAUCAGUGGGAUCAAUAGUGCAUUGCAUCCUCUUAUAAAUAUGUUGACACCCGUAAGGUCCUGUAAGUCAACUGUGAAUUACAUUUUUGUGCUGCCAUGACAGUUAAUAGAGUCAGUAUACUGCUCAGUGUGUGACAAAAUCCGGCAGUCGUGGCUCAUUUGAGUUAAUGCCCCCCCUUCUCAGUGCUCCACCCUUGCUAUUGAUUACUGUUUAAAAGGCUAUGGGUAGUCAAUACGACCUCUCAUCACCAUCUGUCUCUAUUUACUAAUAAAUAAAGUGGAGUGCAUUGACUGCUUUGGCCAGGCCUGUAAAAGCAUGCAUGCUAAUAAGCGUCAGGCCCCUGCAGACACAAGAACAAGAUGGUGUGGACGUUCUUCCUCCUCACAAUCUCUGCCUUGUGCUUUGCACGAGGCACAGAACUCCAAUCAUUGUAAUUGCCUGCUGGUCUUCCUGGUGUUCAAUAUCCCUCAUCAAAGGAAAUGCGUCUUCGCUCCGCCUGCAUGGAUUUUUCUCCACUCGUGUCCACACUGUUGUGUUGUUGUUUUUUCCUCUCAAGUAGUGUGCAGGUCAGCUUUUAGGGUCAUGUCUAGUCAUUUGUCAAGACGUGGGCCAUAAGCUUGGCCUCACCACACUCUGUUUUACUGAUCAAUUACAGUUCAUACAGAUGGGCUCAUUUAAAAAAAGCACCCAUAAAGCAAGUGUCAUAAAUGAUACCAUUUUUUUCCAUCCAGGACUUUCUGCUGUAUAUGUUAGGGAAUAAAUUAGUCUUUGUUUCAAUAAAGGUGUUGUAGAGCUGUUAAGUUAUGUUAAACUUCAUGCUUUUUUUUUUUUGCUAAUGGUGAAUCCUUUUUUUUUAAAUGAAUGAUUUUUUUUCACAGAAAAUAAUCAGAUUUCAGGAUAUUUUCAAGAUUAAGAUUUGUAAACUAUUAGUCAAAAUAAUUACACUACAUUUAAGGAUCUUAAAACAAAAACUGGUCCUAUUGAUGAAUGUAGUUAUGUUUAAUUGUCAUUAAAAUAUGUUUACUUUAAAGAAACAUAAUCAAUAAAACAAAUGUAUUUAUAAAUUCCAGUGUAUAUAAGACUUCUUGCUAAAGUUGUUUUGACAUUUAAACCCAUAAUUUUUCUAUUGAAUACAAGACUUAAACUUUAACAUUUAUUAAUAUUCAAUCAUCAAUUAAUUAUUACAGAUGCUUUCUUAAUUUCUAAGUUAUAAAUAAUGGCCCAUUCAUAUUAGGACUUUGACAUGCAUUUACCAUCUAAAUGACAGUUCUCAAGGUCACAAAAAUGCUAAUAUUUUAGAACGUAAAAGAGUUAUUCUGUGGAGUAACAUGGAUUUUGUGACUUCAUCUAUAAUUUAAAACAUGUAUCUUCAAGGGACUGAAGGGAAAAGCAGUUGAGGAAGUAAAAAGCGAAACAAUGUGUCCACUGCCAUGGGCGAAAGAGCAGAAAAAUGGUGAUAUUCACAAAGCAGAUGCACACAAACACAUUCCUGCAUACAGACAGAGCAUCCAUUUGGUCUGACACUGAUUUCCUGAGUGAAGGCGUGCUGCUGAUGUGAGGAGGCUCUCCAAGCUCAGCAUAACACAGUACUGCUGUGUCAACUGUGACCCGAGCGACCCUGCAGGAGCUGGAGAAUGGGCUCUGGGGUCGCUCUGUGGCUCAGGUGAAAUGAGGGGUCAGAGGUCAGCUGUCCAGUGUGUCAGACUUGCUGAUCAGGAAGUGUAGCCUCUCGCUUCAGGGAGUACAAAGGGAGUGUCAUGUUUUGGAUACAUACUCACACUCUGACAUAAAUCUUCCAUGCUUACAUGCAGCAGAGCUCCCUGCUAGCACACUGCCACAAGAAAGCGAUGCAAAUUAUCAUAAUGUGGGCGAUGCAAUCAUUAUUUUUAAUGUACAACUCUGAAUAUCUUCCGGAAUUUAAUUCAGUUUCUAAACUUUUUGCCCAUAUUUAAAACCCUACCUUACGUCUUCCAGGAUUACACACAGUUGAGCAGAGCAAGGGUUCAUGUUUGUUUGUCCCAACCCCUGCUCUCCAUCUGCACCUCUCUCUCAUUGCAGACACAUCCAAACGGACCCCCUACCUCUGCAGUGCUGAGGCAGCCCUUCCUUCCAUCCUCGAUCCUGAGUCUCAGGUUAGAGAACUCACUGUUGUUCUGAGCCACCCCAACAUCCUGGUACCGCUAUGAAGGGAAAACACUGGUGCUUCAGUAGGGUUUCCUUCCCCCUGGCUUUUUCUAAAGCAGCCUCUGCUGGCUGUCCGGAUCAAACCGGCCCACAGUGUGGUGCCGAGUCCUCUCUGCAAACAAGAGGAGGCCCUCUGCUUUAAAGACUCGCAGCAGGAGCGCCCGUCCUAGAAGUUUAACUUUUCAACAGCCUUGGAGAGGUAGUAUUACAAGGACAGAUUAUUGUACGAGUUUCCUCCCGAGUUUGGACUUGAUUCAAGGUCUUUUAGUUGCGUCUCUGUGUACAUUUUUUUAUGAGUCAAUAUGUGUAUUUAAUGAAUCUGCUUUUUGAAACAGACACAGAAACACUGCUUAUAGCAAAAAUACUUUCACACGUGAGAUGUUUACACAUCUGAAAAGUGUGGCAUGUUUCCUUAUUUCUCUGACUACUGGCUCAGGAGGACAGCUCAUUUUAUGGCAAUUCCAAAACUUGUUGACUACGUGUCUGAAGGCUUUGUACAUCAGGAGGCUAAAAUCUUUGCCAACGCUGCUUUUUAAAAUUGUCAAAGUCAAAUUGGAUGCAAAGCAUCUGUGGACAAAUAUUUUCAGGUAUUGCUGAAAAUUCUUGUUUAGAUCUAAGUUUGAACUAAGACAAGGUCAACAAAAGUGAUCAUGUCCCGUAAUUUUACAUCCUUUAUUUGGUUGCAUACAUCUCCCUGUCAACUGUGACAGGUUUUUCUCUGCCCACUCAGGAAAUGCACCCCCACAGUUUGAUGCUGCUUUGACAAAUUCUUUCACCUGAGCUCUGGAUCUCUCCAGCUCCUCCAGAGUUACUAUGUCCCUGUCUGUUAGCUGCUUCUCUGAUUAGUGCUCUCCUUUCUGUACCUAUCAUCACAGGAUGGCCAGGUUUGCUGUUAUGCCAAACCCUGUUCGGAUGGAGGAUAGAACAGCUUUGGGUUUGUUUUAAUCACCAAACCCGUUUCAACACACACAACAAUCUCCUAGAAUUAUUUGUGCUUCACCUUUGUCCUUAUGAUGAGGUUCGUCCACAUAUAUUCUCCAACAAACUUCUGAGGUCUUCUCAGAACUGCAUUUACACACACAGGUGGAAGACAAUUAGCUUAAGAUUAGUUCAAGUUCAAAUGAAUUGAACUUGAACCUAUUUGUAUCAUAGGGGGCAGAAUACAUACAUCCUACAUUAUAUUUGUCCUUCUUUGUUCACUUUGCAGUUAUGUACUACUGUGCUUAACACUAAAGUUGAUCCAUACCUACGAUAUGAACGUAAAUUCUAGGUAAAGUACUUCGAAGCUUGUUGCAAAAUGUAAUAAAGUAACUUUGAAAGGCAC
Gambusia affinis (western mosquitofish) is the source of this 3990-nucleotide long non-coding RNA. RefSeq lists it as uncharacterized. NCBI's taxonomy places the organism in Eukaryota, Metazoa, Chordata, Actinopteri, Cyprinodontiformes, Poeciliidae. The record is from RefSeq and is a predicted model, not a curated record. The transcript has 3 exons.